GAUGAACGCUGGCGGCGUGCCUAAUACAUGCAAGUCGAGCGAACGGACGAGAAGCUUGCUUUUCUGAUGUUAGCGGCUGACGGGUGAGUAACACGUGGAUAACCUACCUAUAAGACUGGGAUAACUUCGGGAAACCGGAGCUAAUACCGGAUAAUAUUUUGAACCGCAUGGUUCAAAAGUGAAAGACGGUCUUGCUGUCACUUAUAGAUGGAUCCGCGCUGCAUUAGCUAGUUGGUAAGGUAACGGCUUACCAAGGCAACGAUGCAUAGCCGACCUGAGAGGGUGAUCGGCCACACUGGAACUGAGACACGGUCCAGACUCCUACGGGAGGCAGCAGUAGGGAAUCUUCCGCGAUGGGCGAAAGCCUGACGGAGCAACGCCGCGUGAGUGAUGAAGGUCUUCGGAUCGUAAAACUCUGUUAUUAGGGAAGAACAUAUGUGUAAGUAACUGUGCACAUCUUGACGGUACCUAAUCAGAAAGCCACGGCUAACUACGUG
RNAcentral lists this ribosomal RNA (497 nucleotides) under uncultured bacterium. RNAcentral's name for it is "partial 16S ribosomal RNA". It matches the Rfam family "Bacterial small subunit ribosomal RNA", at positions 28 to 507 of the family's 1533-position model. The record is from RNAcentral.